AAGAUAGCAUCGAUUUUUUUAUUUUCUUUUAUUUUUGGCAUCCUCAGAUUCAUCCAUGACUGAACAUUCAAGCUCACAUAUGACCACAUGACAACGCAUUUAUAGCAGGAAAUUGUUGGGUGGCACAUAACAGUUACUCCAGAUGAGGACACAUCACUGGUUCUCAGCAGUCAUCAUUCAACUCCCAUAUUAACAAGUCGCAUUUCUGCCCUCAAAUUGCAUGCAAGGCAUCCAAGCUAUCUUCAGAAAGUAUAAAGCCAAUCUUCAAAACAAAACUAUGGUUGUAGCUAUUAUGUUAAAAUUCCAGAGGACAAGUCUUCCCUCAAAUGCAACCCUCACAUUUCAAUUCUUCAUGGAGAUGCUUAAAUUUUGGGAAGAAUUGACUUCAAUGCAACAUGCAACUUGCUUUUGGCUGGCAGCAGGUCAAGCUUUUUGGCCAAGUAAAAGCAUCAUUUGCUGAACUUCAACAGGGCCUGUCUCCAUGGGUCCCUAGAUUUGGCAGUAAUAUUGGUUGUAUUCCAAAGCAGACAUAUAUACGAGGUUACUUCACUUUUAAGAUAAAAUAGCAUUAUUCUUCCAAAAUUUUAUCUUUUACUGUAGCAUCAGCAUCUAUACUGAGAUGGGCUCAAAAACUUCUAUGCCAAUGAGACAAAACUAGAAGCAUUCAAACUUAACAUGACUUCAUCGAGGACUGUUAAGGAACAAAAGAAGACUAUUUUGUUAUAUAAGCAAUGAAAUUAUUAAAGUGUA
Long non-coding RNA from Populus euphratica (Euphrates poplar), 750 nucleotides. RefSeq lists it as uncharacterized. The transcript has 2 exons. Lineage: Eukaryota; Viridiplantae; Streptophyta; Magnoliopsida; Malpighiales; Salicaceae. The record is from RefSeq and is a predicted model, not a curated record.